This 376-nucleotide ribosomal RNA is filed under the name uncultured bacterium. RNAcentral's name for it is "bacterial SSU rRNA". It matches the Rfam family "Bacterial small subunit ribosomal RNA", at positions 523 to 898 of the family's 1533-position model. The record is from RNAcentral.
AUACGUAGGUGGCAAGCGUUGUCCGGAUUUACUGGGUGUAAAGGGUGCGCAGGCGGGACUGCAAGUUGGAUGUGAAAUUCUGGGGCUCAACCUCAGACCUGCAUCCAAAACUGUGGUUCUUGAGUGGAGUAGAGGUAAGCGGAAUUCCGAGUGUAGCGGUGAAAUGCGUAGAUAUUCGGAGGAACACCAGUGGCGAAGGCGGCUUACUGGGCUCUAACUGACGCUGAGGCACGAAAGCAUGGGUAGCAAACAGGAUUAGAUACCCUGGUAGUCCAUGCUGUAAACGAUGAAUGCUAGGUGUGGGGGGACUGACCCCUUCCGUGCCGGAGUUAACACAAUAAGCAUUCCACCUGGGGAGUACGAUCGCAAGAUUGAA